GAGUAGAGCCUGCUGUUCAGUUCGACUGAACACGGGGAAAACUCACCCGGCUCGGACACUUUGAAGGUUGACAGAUUGAUACCUCUUUCUUGAUUCGGUCGGUGGUGGUGUAUAACCGUUCUUUGUUGGUGCAGCAAUUUGUCCAGGUAAUUCCGAUGAUCUGGUAAAUAGUAGACCGGUCUUCUGUGCUCGUUUAGGGCGCGGCUUCUGUUGUUUUUCCGUUUGGUAGUGUGGUCGUGAACCGGCGGGUACGGUGCCAGUUUUUACUUCUUAGAGGGACAAGCGGCACACUUAAGUCGCAGAAAAAUGAGCAAUAACAGAUCUGUAAUGCCCUUAGAUGUCCGGGGCUACACGUGUGCUAUAAAGACGGUGCCAGUGAAUCUGGAAACCUGACCCGAAAGGGUUGGGCAAACUGUUUGAUCACCGUCGUGACUAAAGCAUAGCGAAUUU
This 450-nucleotide non-coding RNA is filed under the name Schistosoma curassoni. Its description in RNAcentral is "Eukaryotic small subunit ribosomal RNA". It matches the Rfam family "Eukaryotic small subunit ribosomal RNA", at positions 1174 to 1586 of the family's 1831-position model. Lineage: Eukaryota; Metazoa; Platyhelminthes; Trematoda; Strigeidida; Schistosomatidae. The record is from Rfam by way of RNAcentral.